RNAcentral lists this long non-coding RNA (214 nucleotides) under Homo sapiens (human). RNAcentral's name for it is "HSALNT0374131". The record is from RNAcentral. Lineage: Eukaryota; Metazoa; Chordata; Mammalia; Primates; Hominidae.
AAUGUUUGUGUCUCCCCAGAAUUCAUGUUGAAACCCUAUUCCCCAGUGUGAUAGCAUUAGGAGUUGGGCCUUUGAGAGGAUAAAAUGAGAAGUCAGCAGUCUGGAACCCGGAAGAGAAACCUCAUCAGAAACUGACCAUGCUGGCACCCUAAAACUGGGACUUCCAGCCUCCAGAAUUAUGACAUGAGAUAUCAAGGAGGAAAGAGAAAGGAGC